RNAcentral lists this non-coding RNA (30 nucleotides) under Mus musculus (house mouse). Lineage: Eukaryota; Metazoa; Chordata; Mammalia; Rodentia; Muridae. The record is from RNAcentral.
UGGCCCAUUACUCUGAUUCCAGUGUUUUGC